CCUACGGGUGGCAGCAGUGAGGAAUAUUGGUCAAUGGCCGUAAGGCUGAACCAGCCAAGUCGCGUGAAGGAAGAAGGAUCUAUGGUUUGUAAACUUCUGUUAUAGGGGAAUAAAGGUAGCCACGUGUGGAUAUUUGCAUGUACCCUAUGAAUAAGCAUCGGCUAACGCCGUGCCAGCAGCCGCGGUAAUACGGAGGAUGCGAGCGUUAUCCGGAUUUAGUGGGUUUAAAGGGGGCGUAGGGUGUUUUUUACGGCAGCGUUGAAAGUUUGUGGCUCAACCAUAAAAUUGCCGUUGAAACUGGAAGCCUUGCUUGUGUUUGCGUUCGGCGGCCUGCGUGGUGUAGCGGU
RNAcentral lists this ribosomal RNA (347 nucleotides) under uncultured bacterium. RNAcentral's name for it is "partial 16S ribosomal RNA". It matches the Rfam family "Bacterial small subunit ribosomal RNA", at positions 338 to 682 of the family's 1533-position model. The record is from RNAcentral.